Molecule: non-coding RNA, 238 nt
Filed under: Clostridium sp.
Lineage: Bacteria; Bacillati; Bacillota; Clostridia; Eubacteriales; Clostridiaceae
Description: T-box sequence
Rfam family: T-box leader
About the family: Uncharged tRNA acts as the effector for transcription antitermination of genes in the T-box leader family. T-boxes are found upstream of many aminoacyl-tRNA synthetase genes and some amino acid biosynthetic genes usually in Gram-positive bacteria.
Source: RNAcentral
AUAAAUGCUUAGAUCAGGAAAAGUAAAUUACAUGAAACAGACAGAGAAGAGUUCAAAUGCUGAAAGAACUCCAUGAUAGAAUGUAGUUGAAGUGCCCCUGUGAGCAGAUAACCGAAAUUUAGUAGGCUUAUCCGGGUUUCUCCCGUUAUAGAGAUAGGGUAUGCAAGUACCUGAGAAAGAUGGGCAUUUUUAUGUCUAAUUAGAGUGGAACCGCGGAAUUUAACCUUCUGCCUCUGAA